GGUUAAGCGACUAAGCGUACACGGUGGAUGCCCUGGCAGUCAGAGGCGAUGAAGGACGUGCUAAUCUGCGAUAAGCGUCGGUAAGGUGAUAUGAACCGUUAUAACCGGCGAUUUCCGAAUGGGGAAACCCAGUGUGAUUCGUCACACUAUCAUUAACUGAAUCCAUAGGUUAAUGAGGCGAACCGGGGGAACUGAAACAUCUAAGUACCCCGAGGAAAAGAAAUCAACCGAGAUUCCCCCAGUAGCGGCGAGCGAACGGGGAGCAGCCCAGAGCCUGAAUCAGUGUGUGUGUUAGUGGAAGCGUCUGGAAAGGCGCGCGAUACAGGGUGACAGCCCCGUACACAAAAAUGCACAUGCUGUGAGCUCGAUGAGUAGGGCGGGACACGUGGUAUCCUGUCUGAAUAUGGGGGGACCAUCCUCCAAGGCUAAAUACUCCUGACUGACCGAUAGUGAACCAGUACCGUGAGGGAAAGGCGAAAAGAACCCCGGCGAGGGGAGUGAAAAAGAACCUGAAACCGUGUACGUACAAGCAGUGGGAGCCUCUUUAUGGGGUGACUGCGUACCUUUUGUAUAAUGGGUCAGCGACUUAUAUUCUGUAGCAAGGUUAACCGAAUAGGGGAGCCGAAGGGAAACCGAGUCUUAACUGGGCGUUAAGUUGCAGGGUAUAGACCCGAAACCCGGUGAUCUAGCCAUGGGCAGGUUGAAGGUUGGGUAACACUAACUGGAGGACCGAACCGACUAAUGUUGAAAAAUUAGCGGAUGACUUGUGGCUGGGGGUGAAAGGCCAAUCAAACCGGGAGAUAGCUGGUUCUCCCCGAAAGCUAUUUAGGUAGCGCCUCGUGAAUUCAUCUCCGGGGGUAGAGCACUGUUUCGGCAAGGGGGUCAUCCCGACUUACCAACCCGAUGCAAACUGCGAAUACCGGAGAAUGUUAUCACGGGAGACACACGGCGGGUGCUAACGUCCGUCGUGAAGAGGGAAACAACCCAGACCGCCAGCUAAGGUCCCAAAGUCAUGGUUAAGUGGGAAACGAUGUGGGAAGGCCCAGACAGCCAGGAUGUUGGCUUAGAAGCAGCCAUCAUUUAAAGAAAGCGUAAUAGCUCACUGGUCGAGUCGGCCUGCGCGGAAGAUGUAACGGGGCUAAACCAUGCACCGAAGCUGCGGCAGCGACGCUUAUGCGUUGUUGGGUAGGGGAGCGUUCUGUAAGCCUGUGAAGGUGUACUGUGAGGUAUGCUGGAGGUAUCAGAAGUGCGAAUGCUGACAUAAGUAACGAUAAAGCGGGUGAAAAGCCCGCUCGCCGGAAGACCAAGGGUUCCUGUCCAACGUUAAUCGGGGCAGGGUGAGUCGACCCCUAAGGCGAGGCCGAAAGGCGUAGUCGAUGGGAAACAGGUUAAUAUUCCUGUACUUGGUGUUACUGCGAAGGGGGGACGGAGAAGGCUAUGUUGGCCGGGCGACGGUUGUCCCGGUUUAAGCGUGUAGGCUGGUUUUCCAGGCAAAUCCGGAAAAUCAAGGCUGAGGCGUGAUGACGAGGCACUACGGUGCUGAAGCAACAAAUGCCCUGCUUCCGGGGAAAAGCCUCUAAGCAUCAGGUAACAUCAAAUCGUACCCCAAACCGACACAGGUGGUCAGGUAGAGAAUACCAAGGCGCUUGAGAGAACUCGGGUGAAGGAACUAGGCAAAAUGGUGCCGUAACUUCGGGAGAAGGCACGCUGAUAUGUAGGUGAAGUCCCUCGCGGAUGGAGCUGAAAUCAGUCGAAGAUACCAGCUGGCUGCAACUGUUUAUUAAAAAACACAGCACUGUGCAAACACGAAAGUGGACGUAUACGGUGUGACGCCUGCCCGGUGCCGGAAGGUUAAUUGAUGGGGUCAGCGCAAGCGAAGCUCUUGAUCGAAGCCCCGGUAAACGGCGGCCGUAACUAUAACGGUCCUAAGGUAGCGAAAUUCCUUGUCGGGUAAGUUCCGACCUGCACGAAUGGCGUAAUGAUGGCCAGGCUGUCUCCACCCGAGACUCAGUGAAAUUGAACUCGCUGUGAAGAUGCAGUGUACCCGCGGCAAGACGGAAAGACCCCGUGAACCUUUACUAUAGCUUGACACUGAACAUUGAGCCUUGAUGUGUAGGAUAGGUGGGAGGCUUUGAAGUGUGGACGCCAGUCUGCAUGGAGCCGACCUUGAAAUACCACCCUUUAAUGUUUGAUGUUCUAACGUGGACCCGUGAUCCGGGUUGCGGACAGUGUCUGGUGGGUAGUUUGACUGGGGCGGUCUCCUCCUAAAGAGUAACGGAGGAGCACGAAGGUUGGCUAAUCUGGUCGGACAUCAGGAGGUUAGUGCAAUGGCAUAAGCCAGCUUGACUGCGAGCGUGACGGCGCGAGCAGGUGCGAAAGCAGGUCAUAGUGAUCCGGUGGUUCUGAAUGGAAGGGCCAUCGCUCAACGGAUAAAAGGUACUCCGGGGAUAACAGGCUGAUACCGCCCAAGAGUUCAUAUCGACGGCGGUGUUUGGCACCUCGAUGUCGGCUCAUCACAUCCUCGGGGCUGAAGUAGGUCCCAAGGGUAUGGCUGUUCGCCAUUUAAAGUGGUACGCGAGCUGGGUUUAGAACGUCGUGAGACAGUUCGGUCCCUAUCUGCCGUGGGCGCUGGAGAACUGAGGGGGGGGCUGCUCCUAGUACGAGAGGACCGGAGUGGACGCAUCACUGGUGUUCGGGUUGUCAUGCCAAUGGCACUGCCCGGUAGCUAAAUGCGGAAGAGAUAAGUGCUGAAAGCAUCUAAGCACGAAACUUGCCCCGAGAUGAGUUCUCCCUGACCCUUUAAGGGUCCUGAAGGAACGUUGAAGACGACGACGUUGAUAGGCCGGGUGUGUAAGCGCAGCGAUGCGUUGAGCUAACCGGUACUAAUGAACCGUGAGGCUUAACCUU
This 2907-nucleotide ribosomal RNA is filed under the name Escherichia coli. RNAcentral's name for it is "23S ribosomal RNA". It matches the Rfam family "Bacterial large subunit ribosomal RNA". Lineage: Bacteria; Pseudomonadati; Pseudomonadota; Gammaproteobacteria; Enterobacterales; Enterobacteriaceae. The record is from RNAcentral.